RNAcentral lists this ribosomal RNA (430 nucleotides) under Pseudomonadota bacterium. RNAcentral's name for it is "Proteobacteria bacterium partial 16S ribosomal RNA". It matches the Rfam family "Bacterial small subunit ribosomal RNA", at positions 355 to 776 of the family's 1533-position model. Lineage: Bacteria; Pseudomonadati; Pseudomonadota. The record is from RNAcentral.
UGGGGAAUAUUGGACAAUGGGGGGAACCCUGAUCCAGCCAUGCCGCGUGUGUGAAGAAGGCCUUAUGGUUGUAAAGCACUUUAAGCGAGGAGGAGGGUACUGGUAUUAAUACUACCAGGUACUGGACGUUACUCGCAGAAUAAGCACCGGCUAACUCUGUGCCAGCAGCCGCGGUAAUACAGAGGGUGCAAGCGUUAAUCGGAAUUACUGGGCGUAAAGCGCGCGUAGGUGGUUCGUUAAGUUGAAUGUGAAAGCCCCGGGCUCAACCUGGGAACUGCAUCCAAAACUGGCGGGCUAGAGUAGGGCAGAGGGUGGUGGAAUUUCCUGUGUAGCGGUGAAAUGCGUAGAUAUAGGAAGGAACACCAGUGGCGAAGGCGACCACCUGGGCUCAUACUGACGCUGAGGUACGAAAGCAUGGGGAGCAAACAGG